Molecule: long non-coding RNA, 640 nt
Filed under: Chinchilla lanigera (long-tailed chinchilla)
Lineage: Eukaryota; Metazoa; Chordata; Mammalia; Rodentia; Chinchillidae
Description: lncRNA (ENSCLAG00000028781.1)
Source: RNAcentral
UAAGAAACCAGAAAGUCCGAGGUCCUACCACAACAGAUAUUCUUCAUAGAAUGUGAAGAACUGUUUUCACUGUGGAAGGCUGAAUUGCACAUGAUGAGAAACUCCAGAGGCUGUGAGAGAUUGGGACCACAAGGUGAUGGAGACAAACAAGGUGACAGCAUUGGCCCCGCCUCGCUGAUCCAUUUAUUUGUCACAAGGUUUAACAUUUCAUGGUGCCGUGCUUGAGAAUCAAUCACCUGGCCCCCAUCCACAGAAUCCAGCUGGCUGGGACCAAAGCUGGAGGGAUCAGGAGCUAAAACCCAUGCCGACUUGCAGCAGGGCCCACAAGAGGAGCGAGAAGACAGAUUGUAGGCUGGUUAUCAGUGAAGCCCAGAAUCCAGAGACUUACUGCUUCUGAGACUAAUGGUCUCCCAACAUCCCCCGCAUAGUAAUAAAACUCCCAGCUUUAGACAGGCACAUAAAAUUCAGUAGAUAACACACGAGUAUUUCUGUCUCUCCUGGCAGCCAGAAUAGGUUCAGAACAGUACAUGAGGAUGCAAGGGAAAUAUUCAACUUCUAGAAUAUUCACGUCCUUAUAGACAGACUGCUGGUCUUCCACUUGCUAUUUUCUCCCUCCUGAAAACUUGAAAAUGAUCCUGUG